GACGAACGCUGGCGGCGUGCUUAACACAUGCAAGUCGAACGGUGAAGCGCCUUCCUUUUUGGUGGGUGUGGAUGAGUGGCGAACGGGUGAGUAACACGUGAGUAACCUGCCCCCUUCUUCUGGAUAACCGCAUGAAAGUGUGGCUAAUACGGGAUAUUCUGGGUCUGUCGCAUGAUGGGUCUGGGAAAGAUAUUGUUUCGGUGGGGGAUGGGCUCGCGGCCUAUCAGCUUGUUGGUGGGGUGAUGGCCUACCAAGGCGGUGAGGGGUAGCCGGCCUGAGAGGGUGGACGGUCACACUGGGACGGAGACACGGCCCAGACUCCUACGGGAGGCAGCAGUGGGGAAUAUUGCACAAUGGGCGCAAGCCUGAUGCAGCGACGCCGCGUGAGGGAUGGAGGCCUUCGGGUUGUGAACCUCUUUCGCCAGUGAAGCAGGCCUGCCUCGUUUGUGGGUGGGUUGACGGUAGCUGGAUAAGAAGCGCCGGCUAACUACGUG
Molecule: ribosomal RNA, 494 nt
Filed under: uncultured bacterium
Lineage: Bacteria
Description: partial 16S ribosomal RNA
Rfam family: Bacterial small subunit ribosomal RNA
Source: RNAcentral